AACGGUUUUUCCUGCUGACGGAACGUUGUGGAGCACCACAGUGCAGGAAAUGCCGGGAACUUUAUGCCGACCGUCUGGGCAGCCUUG
This 87-nucleotide non-coding RNA is filed under the name Faecalibacterium sp. CAG:82. RNAcentral describes it as "ZMP/ZTP riboswitch aptamer (pfl RNA motif)". It matches the Rfam family "ZMP/ZTP riboswitch aptamer (pfl RNA motif)". Rfam says of the family: Previously known as pfl RNA. ZMP is also known as AICAR. Lineage: Bacteria; Bacillati; Bacillota; Clostridia; Eubacteriales; Oscillospiraceae. RNAcentral also lists the same sequence under 1 other name. The record is from Rfam by way of RNAcentral.